GACGAACGCUGGCGGCGUGCUUAACACAUGCAAGUCGAACGGAAAGGCCCUGCUUUUGUGGGGUGCUCGAGUGGCGAACGGGUGAGUAACACGUGAGUAACCUGCCCUUGACUUUGGGAUAACUUCAGGAAACUGGGGCUAAUACCGGAUAGGAGCUCCUGCUGCAUGGUGGGGGUUGGAAAGUUUCGGCGGUUGGGGAUGGACUCGCGGCUUAUCAGCUUGUUGGUGGGGUAGUGGCUUACCAAGGCUUUGACGGGUAGCCGGCCUGGGAGGGUGACCGGCCACAUUGGGACUGAGAUACGGCCCAGACUCCUACGGGAGGCAGCAGUGGGGAAUAUUGCACAAUGGGCGGAAGCCUGAUGCAGCAACGCCGCGUACGGGAUGACGGCCUUCGGGUUGUAAACCGCUUUCGCCUGUGACGAAGCGUGAGUGACGGUAAUGGGUAAAGAAGCACCGGCUAACUACGUG
This 468-nucleotide ribosomal RNA is filed under the name uncultured bacterium. RNAcentral describes it as "partial 16S ribosomal RNA". It matches the Rfam family "Bacterial small subunit ribosomal RNA", at positions 28 to 507 of the family's 1533-position model. The record is from RNAcentral.